This is a small nuclear RNA of Papio anubis (olive baboon), 130 nucleotides long. Its record names the gene U2. It matches the Rfam family "U2 spliceosomal RNA". Rfam says of the family: U2 is a small nuclear RNA (snRNA) component of the spliceosome (involved in pre-mRNA splicing). Complementary binding between U2 snRNA (in an area lying towards the 5' end but 3' to hairpin I) and the branchpoint sequence (BPS) of the intron results the bulging out of an unpaired adenosine, on the BPS, which initiates a nucleophilic attack at the intronic 5' splice site, thus starting the first of two transesterification reactions that mediate splicing. NCBI's taxonomy places the organism in Eukaryota, Metazoa, Chordata, Mammalia, Primates, Cercopithecidae. The record is from Ensembl.
AUCACUUCUCAACCUUUUGGCUAAGAUCAAGUGUAGUAUCUGUUUUCUCAGUUUAAUAUCUGAUAUGUCCUAAAUUAAAAAUAAUAAAGAAUGAUUGUAAAGGGGAGAUACGAGAAACCAGAGAAUCCAU